ACGGGAGCUUGCUCCCGGGCGUCGAGCGGCGGACGGGUGAGUAAGGCAUAGGAAUCUGCCCGGUAGUGGGGGAUAACCUGGGGAAACUCAGGCUAAUACCGCAUACGUCCUACGGGAGAAAGCAGGGGACCUUCGGGCCUUGCGCUAUCGGAUGAGCCUAUGUCGGAUUAGCUGGUUGGUGAGGUAAUGGCUCACCAAGGCGACGAUCCGUAGCUGGUCUGAGAGGAUGAUCAGCCACAUCGGGACUGAGACACGGCCCGAACUCCUACGGGAGGCAGCAGUGGGGAAUAUUGGACAAUGGGCGCAAGCCUGAUCCAGCCAUGCCGCGUGUGUGAAGAAGGCCUUCGGGUUGUAAAGCACUUUCAGUGGGGAAGAAGGCCUUUCGGUUAAUACCCGGGAGGAGCGACAUCACCCACAGAAGAAGCACCGGCUAACUCCGUGCCAGCAGCCGCGGUAAUACGGAGGGUGCGAGCGUUAAUCGGAAUUACUGGGCGUAAAGCGCGCGUAGGCGGCGUGAUAAGCCGGUUGUGAAAGCCCCGGGCUCAACCUGGGAAUGGCAUCCGGAACUGUCAGGCUAGAGUGCAGGAGAGGAAGGUAGAAUUCCCGGUGUAGCGGUGAAAUGCGUAGAGAUCGGGAGGAAUACCAGUGGCGAAGGCGGCCUUCUGGACUGACACUGACGCUGAGGUGCGAAAGCGUGGGUAGCAAACAGGAUUAGAUACCCUGGUAGUCCACGCCGUAAAC
RNAcentral lists this ribosomal RNA (741 nucleotides) under uncultured Pseudomonadota bacterium. RNAcentral's name for it is "bacterial SSU rRNA". It matches the Rfam family "Bacterial small subunit ribosomal RNA", at positions 72 to 807 of the family's 1533-position model. Lineage: Bacteria; Pseudomonadati; Pseudomonadota. The record is from RNAcentral.